This 35-nucleotide small RNA is filed under the name Arabidopsis thaliana (thale cress). RNAcentral's name for it is "ATSL098770". Lineage: Eukaryota; Viridiplantae; Streptophyta; Magnoliopsida; Brassicales; Brassicaceae. The record is from RNAcentral.
UUACUGAGUCUGGGUCAUAAUUUGAAUAUUUAUAU